RNAcentral lists this ribosomal RNA (305 nucleotides) under uncultured bacterium. RNAcentral describes it as "bacterial SSU rRNA". It matches the Rfam family "Bacterial small subunit ribosomal RNA", at positions 335 to 633 of the family's 1533-position model. The record is from RNAcentral.
GGCCUACGGGAGGCAGCAGUGGGGAAUUUUGCGCAAUGCUCGUAAGAGUGACGCAGCGACGCCGCGUGAAUGACGAAGGCCUUCGGGUCGUAAAGUUCUUUCGACAGGGAAGAAAAUGCCUAUAAGUAACUGUGUAUGUAUUGACGGUACCUGUAUGAGCAGCCCCGGCUAACUCCGUGCCAGCGGCCGCGGUAAUACGGAGGGGGCGAGCGUUGUUCGGAGUGACUGGGCGUAAAGAGCAGGUAGGCGGUGUUGUAAGUCAUUAGUCAAAGACUAGAGUUACACUUUAGUAAGGCUAGUGAUAG